This 119-nucleotide ribosomal RNA is filed under the name Escherichia coli. Its description in RNAcentral is "partial 16S ribosomal RNA". It matches the Rfam family "Bacterial small subunit ribosomal RNA", at positions 1416 to 1533 of the family's 1533-position model. Lineage: Bacteria; Pseudomonadati; Pseudomonadota; Gammaproteobacteria; Enterobacterales; Enterobacteriaceae. RNAcentral also lists the same sequence under 1 other name. The record is from RNAcentral.
AACACCCGAAGUCGGUGGGGUAACCUUUUUGGAGCCAGCCGCCUAAGGUGGGACAGAUGAUUGGGGUGAAGUCGUAACAAGGUAGCCGUAUCGGAAGGUGCGGCUGGAUCACCUCCUUU